Long non-coding RNA from Anser cygnoides (Swan goose), 1878 nucleotides. The record is from Ensembl. Lineage: Eukaryota; Metazoa; Chordata; Aves; Anseriformes; Anatidae.
UGCUCUGCGGCUCGGCGCCGCCCGACGGCCCCUAUUUAUCGUCGGGGAGGGCGGGCGGCCGCAGCCGCCAGGCGGGGACGGGGAGGGACGCGGCGCUGAAGGACGGCCCCGCUUGGUUCGGGCGGCUCUGCAGGGGGUUGGAGGCGAGGGGGCUGCGGUCGGGGCUUCCCGCUGCUCGUUUGUCCCUUCUCGGGUGGGUCUGUGGGAGGCAGGGUGCUCUCGGGUCUGUGUUGCCUCACGACUCCUUCAGGAUUAGCCUUAGGGUGCUGCGCGGCGCCAUUUUGUGCCUGGUGGCCCCCUCCUGCCCAAGCCUCCCUGAGGGAGGUGGUAUGGAGGUUGUCGGAAACCCCUGUCAUAGCCAGGGCCUGGGGAAGGCUCGGGUUAUCAGUGGGGCUGGGGCGUUUGCAACACUCACCUGUACCUCAGAAAGCUUAGAAUACAUGUCUAAACAGCGUGGUUUUUUUCCCCAUCUCGUUUGCAGUUGUCACAAGGUGUGUGUGCUCUUCAAGCUCCUGCUGUGCUCACUAGAGAGAGCAAAUGAGUGCAAAACCCCUCCUUCUCCUCCAGUAGCGUGUGCCAGGAAGAUGGGAAAGCAUGUCUGCAGACAGCCCUGCAAUGUUGAAUUUCAGUGUUAGUCAGAGCCUUCGCCAAGCGCUGCAUUCAAGGCAGUGUUUGUGGACACCGAGUGCUUCUCCCACUGAGCCCAGAUUGCAGGAACGGAGAGCACGUCCCCCGUGGGAGUGGGAAGAGCCCAGUCUCCAACUCCGGUCUGCAUGGAGGGGGAUUAAGUUCUCCGCCUGCAACCAGCCUUGCACACAGAGCAACUGUGGGGUGACAAAGGAAGCUUGCGACUCCUUUCCCACCUGCACCUUUAGGUGCCUCCUGCUGGAGAGCAGCGAUCUCAAAAUGCAUUAUGAAUACUAAUCAGGUUAACUUCAGAUUCUUCAAAUGUUGGCUUCCACGAUCAUUCCAACCACAGCGGUUUUCAAGAUCGAGCACUUACCAGUUGCAUUGCUGGACCAGUACUGCAGCUAAGAUGAUAGGUAAGUGCUAUAGCUUUGUUUUUCUUGGUAGCAUACUGUGAAUUAUUUAUGCCAUCUCUUUGUUGUCCUGGUGGCUUGGAUGAAGGGAGAAAAAUGCAUGAGUGUGCGGCUUCAUUUAUAGACCACAUUAACAUCAGGUACAAAACAGAUGCAUCGGCAGGUAGUAGAAUCGGUUGCAAGCUGUUGUAAGGAUGUGCCGUGCACCUACGUGGACAUCAUGUGUUAGCUGAAAUUGCAGCACCAAGAAAUUUGCUAGAGCUCGUCAUAGUGGAUCUGUUGGGUAUAACAGGUAUAUUUUAGUCUUGUUUCGCUGUGUAUCUGGUGUUAUAUUGGCAGAAUAGCUUGGAUAAACUAUCAUGUACAUACUGGUUUAAAUAGAUGUAAGCACGAGCCUCACUUUAAAAAAUAUAAAGCUUUAAUUGAACACUUUUCAGUGUGUGAACCAUCUGGCUCCUGUUUCUGUAGUCUCAGAACUGCACAGAAUCUUAGUACAUGUAUCCUCAUCACCUCUCUGUAAGGUGAUGGCACCCCAUUAUCCUUGUCCAGCACGUGGGAAUUGCACUCAUAAAUACCCUGGACUAUCAAAGAGUUAAUUAUCUAACAUGCUUUUGUGCAUUUCUGUGAUUUCCACAAAGCACAUUUUAGCAAUUUUGUAGUCCUAAAGAUCUUUGUAGUCAUGGCUGUGAUUUUCUGAGAAAGUUCCUGGGAGAGUGGAAAGGUGAAUUUAGUUGUCUGGAGUUUUACGUCAACAUUGUUGCCCCUGAAAUACCUUGUUCUUGUGAUCUGUAACUGUUGGUUCUUAAAAAAAUAAAUAGAGAGAUGUUGAAUGGGUACA